UAGGGAAUCUUCCACAAUGGACGCAAGUCUGAUGGAGCAACGCCGCGUGAGUGAAGAAGGUUUUCGGAUCGUAAAGCUCUGUUGUUGGUGAAGAAGGAUAGAGGCAGUAACUGGUCUUUAUUUGACGGUAAUCAACCAGAAAGUCACGGCUAACUACGUGCCAGCAGCCGCGGUAAUACGUAGGUGGCAAGCGUUGUCCGGAUUUAUUGGGCGUAAAGCGAGCGCAGGCGGAAUGAUAAGUCUGAUGUGAAAGCCCACGGCUCAACCGUGGAACUGCAUCGGAAACUGUCAUUCUUGAGUGCAGAAGAGGAGAGUGGAACUCCAUGUGUAGCGGUGGAAUGCGUAGAUAUAUGGAAGAACACCAGUGGCGAAGGCGGCUCUCUGGUCUGCAACUGACGCUGAGGCUCGAAAGCAUGGGUAGCGAACAGGAUUAGAUACCCUGGUAGUCCAUGCCGUAAACGAUGAGCGCUAGGUGUUGGGGACUUUCCGGUUCUCAGUGCCGCAGCAAACGCAUUAAGCGCUCCGCCUGGGGAGUACGA
This 539-nucleotide ribosomal RNA is filed under the name uncultured bacterium. RNAcentral's name for it is "partial 16S ribosomal RNA". It matches the Rfam family "Bacterial small subunit ribosomal RNA", at positions 355 to 885 of the family's 1533-position model. The record is from RNAcentral.